RNAcentral lists this long non-coding RNA (840 nucleotides) under Panax ginseng (ginseng). RNAcentral's name for it is "long non-coding RNA (PGIN_LNC009480)". The record is from RNAcentral. Lineage: Eukaryota; Viridiplantae; Streptophyta; Magnoliopsida; Apiales; Araliaceae.
AAUAAGGGAGUUAGUGGAGCUGAUACCAGUUCAAGUCACAAACUGGUGAGUUGAGACCUGAUUACAAUAACUUAGAAUCUAUUUUUACUAGUCAAAUCUGAUUUUCCAGUUUUAUAGACAAAUGUGGCAGACAAAGGCGUGGCAGACAAAGGUGUAGUUAGACAAACUGGUGUAGUCAUGAGAAAUCGUGUAAUAAGAGAAUGAGUCCCACCUGGUGUUGGCUAUUUCAUUUCCCCAAAUACCGACAACACUUAUAUUUUAGUAAGUAUAUGUGAAUGAUUAUUAGUUUUUAUUCUUGUUUCAGUACAUUUCAUUAAUUAGUUUGUCAACCAACUGUUGUAUAUGUACACUUAUUGUGUUAAGUUAUGGUGUACACUGUUGUAUAUAGAGCAUACCUGGGAGAUGUUACUUAGCUGGAUCUGGCCCAAGGACUGCACCUGCACACCAUCAACCAAGGCCAAAGACAACUGCACCUAAGGCCACAACAAAAAUGAUGUCUGGUGCUAUGAGAGCGGCAAUUGCACUUACUGGAGAGAUUGAAAUAGAGGAUCGUGAGAUGGAUCAAGCUUUGUAUAACAACUUCAAGGAGACUAGAGGGGGAAGAAGAAUAGAGGGUGAGGGUCAGUCGAGUGGAACAACUAACAAGACUGGUGGUAAUCAAGAAAGUGUGAACAAGGAGUAGAAUAAGUUGAUCUAUUAAUAUAUAUUAUCAUUUUGUGUGAACAGUUAAUUAGUGGUUUUUGGGGUUUGUAUUAUGUCAAACACAAAAAUGAUACAGUAAGGUUUAUUUGGUGUACUAGCCUGGAUGGUUUAUUUGGUGUAGUGUAUGUACUGGCCUGG